RNAcentral lists this long non-coding RNA (1158 nucleotides) under Fukomys damarensis (Damara mole-rat). Its description in RNAcentral is "lncRNA (ENSFDAG00000023099.1)". Lineage: Eukaryota; Metazoa; Chordata; Mammalia; Rodentia; Bathyergidae. The record is from RNAcentral.
CUCCUCUCUGAGCGGAUGUUUCCUCUAUCACGGAAUUUAUCUUAGCGCUUCCGGCCUCGCAUUUUAAGAGACCGCUUCUCCGCUGCUCCCUGCUCUGCGCCUCUGCCCUUGUUGGAUCUGGCUCGCUCCUUCCCCGGAGGCCCAGUGAAAUUUUAUGAAACGGUCGAGAUUCCAGGGGCUGACAAAACCCUUGCUUGUCCUUUGAGAUGACUCCCUGAGGCCGGGCUUGCUGUGAAGCCCCAGCGGGGAGCUGCGGGAGCCCUGGCACCUCUCGAGGUCUCACUGCUGGGGAUCCCCGUGUCUGCAGCCAGACUACUCUGCCGCCACCGGCCACAGCCGCAGCGAGCGUCCUCCUUUCCCUAGUCUGGGUGCCUCACGCCGGCCUGCUCGGGGUGAACUGUCGGUCGGAGCUGCGGCUCUCGCAGGCAGUGUACGCCUGCUCUUUGGGGUCAGCGAUCACUAGGCUUGAGCUGCAUCCGGGGGAGUAGAUGUAAGUAAAUGCUUGUAGACUCCUGGCAAAUCCUAGUUAGAAAUCCCUACAACACCCACUUUUCUAUCUGCCUGCCAAACUCUUUUGCUUUGGGGCCUUACUAGCCUAAGUCUCCUUCCCAGCCCUCUAAUCCCUUGCUGUGUGUCUUUGGCUGAGUUUAUUAACCUCUCUGGGGCUCAGUUUUUUCAACUUUGAAAAGAGGGUAAAGAUCCCCUGCUCCUAAGACGUUGGCUCUCUCUCCCCUAUAACGGCUGCAUUCCUGAAAGAAAGCCGACCUGCGCUAAGAGCUGAGAGACAGUGGGAAGAGUGCAGCACUUGGGGUCUGACAGCCCCAAUGUGGACUUCUCAGCCUGCGGUUUGCGACCUUCCUCGGGGCGGACUCCUCUAACCCCGCCCCUUCCGAUGCUACGGGGUCGCCGGGGAACAAGGGAUUGUGGGAAAGAAACAGCCUAGGAACCCGGAAGGGGCUGUGUCCCUGGGAGAGGCUGUGGUCCGUGCUGCCCUCCCAGGGCCGUGGGACGGACGCCCCGCAGCCUCCGAGUCUGCUCCUCACAGCUCCCCCGCAGCUCCAUCUCGCUGACCCCAGCACCGUCGGGUUUUCCCGAGCCCAGAUGGAUCCAGCAGCUCAGGUCUUGGAAGAUGAACAGGGACAGCCCUGGCUUAUCUGA